Molecule: ribosomal RNA, 253 nt
Filed under: uncultured bacterium
Lineage: Bacteria
Description: partial 16S ribosomal RNA
Rfam family: Bacterial small subunit ribosomal RNA
Source: RNAcentral
UACAGAGGGGGCAAGCGUUGUUCGGAAUUACUGGGCGUAAAGGGCGCGUAGGCGGCCUUCUAAGUCGAACGUGAAAUCCCUGGGCUCAACCCAGGAACUGCGUCCGACACUGGAAGGCUUGAAUCCGGGAGAGGGAUGCGGAAUUCCAGGUGUAGCGGUGAAAUGCGUAGAUAUCUGGAGGAACACCGGUGGCGAAGGCGGCAUCCUGGACCGGUAUUGACGCUGAGGCGCGAAAGCCAGGGGAGCAAACGGG